GUGCUGCUUUGACUUCCUGUAUUGCCUUAACUUUUUCAUUUUCAUUUUCAUUUUCAUUUGCUGCUUAAAGGAAUCUAGAAUUUCUAAUGUACUUUUGUUUUUCCAGAUUCCAUUCUGUGGUUUUCACAUUCACAUUCAUGGCUAGAUGAUGCUGUUCUUUCUGGUUCAAGGCUAAUGUGACAAUGGCUAGAUGAUUUGCAUAAACUACUUUGAGCUCCCUGGGAAAGUGGAAAAAGCACUAUGUAAAAACAUAC
RNAcentral lists this long non-coding RNA (254 nucleotides) under Phascolarctos cinereus (koala). Its description in RNAcentral is "lncRNA (ENSPCIG00000036215.1)". Lineage: Eukaryota; Metazoa; Chordata; Mammalia; Diprotodontia; Phascolarctidae. The record is from RNAcentral.